RNAcentral lists this ribosomal RNA (641 nucleotides) under Symbiodinium sp. CCMP2430. RNAcentral's name for it is "partial Bacterial large subunit ribosomal RNA". It matches the Rfam family "Bacterial large subunit ribosomal RNA", at positions 1083 to 1732 of the family's 2925-position model. Lineage: Eukaryota; Dinophyceae; Suessiales; Symbiodiniaceae. The record is from RNAcentral.
GCAUAGACAGCUAGGAGGUUGGCUUAGAAGCAGCCACCCUUUAAAGAAAGCGUAAUAGCUCACUAGUCGAGUCGGCCUGCGCGGAAGAUGUACCGGGGCUUAAGCCAUAUACCGAAGCUAUGGAUGCACUUAGUGCAUGGUAGAGGAGCGUUGUGUAAGUCUGCGAAGGUGUGCUGAGAGGCAUGCUGGAGAUAUCACAAGUGCGAAUGCUGACAUGAGUAACGAUAAAGGGGGUGAGAGGCCCCCUCGCCGAAAAUCCAAGGUUUCCUGCUCAACGCUAAUCGGAGCAGGGUGAGUCGGCCCCUAAGGCGAGGCAGAAAUGCGUAGUCGAUGGGAAACGGGUUAAUAUUCCCGUACUUGUUAUUACUGCGAUGGGAUGACGGAGAAGGUUAGGUCAGCCAACUGUUGGAUAUGUUGGUUUAACUGUGUAGGCGUGCUGCUUAGGUAAAUCCGGGCGGCUUAGCUGAGACAGGAUGACGAGCUCAAAUUUGAGCGAAGUGAUUGAUACCCGGCUUCCAGGAAAAGUCUCUAAGCUUCAGGUAAUAACAAACCGUACCCCAAACCGACACAGGCGGUCAGGUAGAGAAUACUAAGGCGCUUGAGAGAACUCGGGUGAAGGAACUCGGCAAAAUUGUACCGUA